CCUACGGGAGGCAGCAGUAGGGAAUAUUGCUCAAUGGGGGAAACCCUGAAGCAGCAACGCCGCGUGGGUGAUGAAGUUUUUCGGAUUGUAAACCCCUUUUGUUAGAGAAGAUAAUGACGGUAUCUAACGAAUAAGCACCGGCUAACUCCGUGCCAGCAGCCGCGGUAAUACGGAGGGUGCAAGCGUUACUCGGAAUCACUGGGCGUAAAGGGCGCGUAGGCGGGUUAGCAAGUCAGAUGUGAAAUCCUAUGGCUUAACCACAGAACGGCAUUGGAAACUGUUAUUCUAGAGUAUGGGAGAGGUAGGUGGAAUUCUUGGUGUAGCGGUAAAAUGCGUAGAGAUCAAGAGGAAUACUCAUUGCGAAGGCGACCUACUAGAAAGUAACUGACGUUGAGGCGCGAAAGCGUGGGGAGCAAACAGGAUUAGAUACCCCAGUAGUC
RNAcentral lists this ribosomal RNA (440 nucleotides) under uncultured bacterium. RNAcentral describes it as "partial 16S ribosomal RNA". It matches the Rfam family "Bacterial small subunit ribosomal RNA", at positions 338 to 795 of the family's 1533-position model. The record is from RNAcentral.